Molecule: long non-coding RNA, 1099 nt
Filed under: Olea europaea (common olive)
Lineage: Eukaryota; Viridiplantae; Streptophyta; Magnoliopsida; Lamiales; Oleaceae
Description: long non-coding RNA (OEUR_LNC009959)
Source: RNAcentral
CCAUUUACGCUAAUUUCCCUUAAAGAAACGUAUGAUUGCUGUGUUCUAUGUCACUCCACUUGAGAAGAAAAUGACAAUUUUUGUGUUUUCUUAACGCUGACUAUAGUGAUUUUUUUGUGCAGUCCGUCACAAAACGUGCAAGGGAAAUUAAAGAUAAAUAAACGAAACCUGACCAUUUAUAAUAUAUUUCCAUUGACUAAAUGUAGUCAUUAUUAAUUCUUCUUCAUUUUUAUUUUUUUUACGAUAUUCUUGACCCCAAAAAUUGAUUUGCGACUUCGUCUCUUCCAUGUAGACAUCACCUACACACUGAACAACAUAUUAAAAGACAAAGGUGGUCAAUUGAGAAAAAAGGUCUCACGUCAAAUCAACAACCAAAUGAGAUAAAAAGAGAAUGCAAGAGAGUGAGAGGGAUUUGGUCAAAGUUUAGAAAACAUACCUUCUAUGAAGUGAGUUCACAUAUAUAUAGGGAAAUGAUAAUGGACCAAGUGGGUUAAUGGACAAAGUGAGUUAAUGGGCCGAGUCCAAACCCAAGAUGAAAUUGCUUAAUUAAAUAGGCCAAAUCAAUUAAUAGUUGAUGCUAUGUCGGCCAAUGUGGGAUCCCCUCCGUCAGUUGUAUGCCACGUAAUGUACAAGUGUAACAAUAAUCCCCAACUCUGAGUCGUACAAUCAUGUGAGGGUCAGACUUCGAAAUAUAAGCUGCCAAAAAGGUCAUGUCUUACUGAUUGCAUUAGAAAAUAUGAAUAGCUCCAAUAAGCAAGGACUUAUUAACUACUUCAAAAUAUAAGUUAAUCAAAUAAAUGAGGGCUUAUGACCUACCUCAAAAAUAUUUGUACGAGCCUGGAUAAGUGAAGACUUAGCGAUUGCCUCGAAAGAUGUUGCAUAUAAUUUGUUAAAAUUUUGGCAGGCGUCUCCUUUUGAAGCAAAAAUAUAAUGCAUAUACUAGCAAUAAUAUGUAAUGAUACUAAGAUACUAGUAUUACAAUAGUCCCCUAUGGAGUAGUCGAAUAUUUAUAUUCGGGUUGGACUUGAAAUAUAAGCCAUUGUGAUAAAGCUUAUGUAGAGACAAGACUCCAAAUAUGAACAGUAGAGGUGAUGCUAUG